RNAcentral lists this non-coding RNA (110 nucleotides) under bovine gut metagenome. RNAcentral describes it as "FMN riboswitch (RFN element)". It matches the Rfam family "FMN riboswitch aptamer (RFN element)". Rfam says of the family: The RFN element is a highly conserved domain that is found frequently in the 5'-untranslated regions of prokaryotic mRNAs that encode for flavin mononucleotide (FMN) biosynthesis and transport proteins. This element is a metabolite-dependent riboswitch that directly binds FMN in the absence of proteins. The record is from RNAcentral.
AUCUUCGGGGCGAGGUGAAAUUCCUCACCGGCAGUUACAGUCUGCGAGCCGCAUAGCGGUUGAUUUGGUGAAAUUCCAAAACCGACAGUAUAGUCUGGAUGGAAGAAGAG